RNAcentral lists this ribosomal RNA (459 nucleotides) under uncultured bacterium. RNAcentral describes it as "partial 16S ribosomal RNA". It matches the Rfam family "Bacterial small subunit ribosomal RNA", at positions 338 to 795 of the family's 1533-position model. The record is from RNAcentral.
CCUACGGGUGGCAGCAGUGAGGAAUAUUGGUCCAUGGGCGCGAGCCUGAACCAGCCAAGUCGCGUGAGGGAAGACGGUCCUAUGGAUUGUCAACCUCUUUUGUCGGGGAGCAAAAGACGCCACGCGUGGCGUUCCGAGAGUACCCGAAGACCAAGCAUCGGCUAACUCCGUGCCAGCAGCCGCGGUAAUACGGAGGAUGCGAGCGUUCUCCGGAUUUCUUGGGUUUAAAGGGUGCGCAGGCGGAAGAUCAAGUCAGCGGUAAAAUUGAGAGGCUCAACCUCUUCGAGCCGUUGAAACUGGUUUUCUUGAGUGAGUGAGAAGUAUGCGGAAUGCGUGGUGUAGCGGUGAAAUGCAUAGAUAUCACGCAGAACUCCGAUUGCGAAGGCAGCAUACCGGCGCUCAACUGACGCUCAUGCACGAAAGUGUGGGUAUCGAACAGGAUUAGAUACCCCUGUAGUC